This 500-nucleotide ribosomal RNA is filed under the name uncultured bacterium. RNAcentral describes it as "partial 16S ribosomal RNA". It matches the Rfam family "Bacterial small subunit ribosomal RNA", at positions 30 to 523 of the family's 1533-position model. The record is from RNAcentral.
AUUGAACGCUGGCGGCAUGCUUUACACAUGCAAGUCGAACGGUAACAGGGAGCUUGCUCCGCUGACGAGUGGCGAACGGGUGAGUAAUGCGUCGGAACGUGCCGAGUAGUGGGGGAUAACGCAGCGAAAGUUGUGCUAAUACCGCAUACGUACUGAGGUAGAAAGUGGGGGACCUUCGGGCCUCACGCUAUUCGAGCGGCCGACGUCUGAUUAGCUAGUAGGUGAGGUAAAGGCUCACCUAGGCGACGAUCAGUAGCGGGUCUGAGAGGAUGAUCCGCCACACUGGGACUGAGACACGGCCCAGACUCCUACGGGAGUCAGCAGUGGGGAAUUUUGGACAAUGGGCGAAAGCCUGAUCCAGCCAUGCCGCGUGUCUGAAGAAGGCCUUCGUGUUGUAAAGGACUUUUGUCGGGGAGGAAAUCCCCAGCGUUAAUACCGCUGGGGGAUGACAGUACCUGAAGAAUAAGCACCGGUUAACUACGUGCCAGCCGCCGCAGUAA